UUUUUUUUUUUUUUGAGAGAUAGGUAGCAUGCUACCCGCUUCGUUUAUUUCAUUUAGAAAUAAACUUAGCAUGAAAUGUGAAUUAACUAGGAUUUGAACUUGGGUCUCGGGUACCAACCACCAAGUCCUUUACUACUUGCUCUAGGGACGGUCGGUUUCAAAGAUUUCGAGUUGAAUUAGGAUAUCAAGUGCUUACUAUAUAUCAAAAGAUUAUCACCUUUU
This 222-nucleotide long non-coding RNA is filed under the name Ananas comosus (pineapple). RNAcentral's name for it is "long non-coding RNA (ACOM_LNC000392)". The record is from RNAcentral. Lineage: Eukaryota; Viridiplantae; Streptophyta; Magnoliopsida; Poales; Bromeliaceae.